RNAcentral lists this transfer RNA (72 nucleotides) under Beta vulgaris subsp. vulgaris (sugar beet). It matches the Rfam family "tRNA". Rfam says of the family: Transfer RNA (tRNA) molecules are approximately 80 nucleotides in length. Lineage: Eukaryota; Viridiplantae; Streptophyta; Magnoliopsida; Caryophyllales; Amaranthaceae. The record is from Rfam by way of RNAcentral.
GUUCUUAUAAUUCAAUUGGCAGAAUAUCUUAUUGUGAUUAAGAAUAUCUAAGUUCAAAUCUUAGUAAGAACC